RNAcentral lists this long non-coding RNA (297 nucleotides) under Manihot esculenta (cassava). Its description in RNAcentral is "long non-coding RNA (MESC_LNC008836)". The record is from RNAcentral. Lineage: Eukaryota; Viridiplantae; Streptophyta; Magnoliopsida; Malpighiales; Euphorbiaceae.
ACAGAUCACAUUUCUUCGUCUUCCUCAAUGGCUGGCAAGUUCCCUAAUUCAUUAUCCGGAUUUCCUUCCAUUCUUGUCCAGAGCGGCAGUAGUCCAGCUCAUUCUCCGCAGUGGAAGAAUUCUGUUAGGACCACCACUUCCCAAGUUCCUUCCCCAUCUCUUUCCUCCACUUCAUCAUCCUUAAAAAACCUUCCCCAACAGCAAGGCCGUGUCCAGCAAGGCCAUGCACAGAUAUCAUUUGCAUCCAACCCAAAACCAUCAGCUGCCCCUCAAGGGCAAUCAGCUCCAAGUAGUACC